GUACAACCUCCUGCACAGUUCGCAGCAACGGGGGUAGGGGGAAUUCCGCCUAGCGAUCUAUUUGAUGAGGGGAAAAUUCUGGAACUGCCUCAAGUGUAAUUCUCAGCCUCGACGCUUCAAAUGGGGAGUUCCCUAUCUCCUUCCUUUAUUUAAAAGCAACUUGAGGCUCACCUUACCGUGGCUAAGUACUACCAAGAACUCCACAAAUCGCAUGUCGAUGCCGACAUGAUUACUCUACGCCAGCGCAACGAGAUGGACAUUGUGUUGCACAGGUUUGCUCUCAAAACUCUGGUAGACUGUGUUAGCUUUGCUCAAGGCGCAAAAAAACUUGAAGCGAGCUGAGGAGACGAUACAGAAUUUUGGAGUGACACAAACCCUCUGCACCGAGCUUGGAACUAAAUGUCAGGAAUUGGAAGCGAAGUUAAUAUCCAACGGGGAUUGGCAGAGGAAACAUGAGCUUUCUGCAGAAUAUGACAAGUUAAAAUCUCAGACUGAAAAGACAAAUGAAGCUCAUAAGGUGAUCGUCCAGAAUCUUCGGGAUGCUUGCAAAGACAAGGAGUAUUAACUUAACAGUCUGUAGUCGGCAAAAUAUGUUCUUCAGAAUGAGGUUGAAGUACUAAAAUCAGAUGCCAGGUUAGCUAAAGUAGAGAUUGAAGGCAAAGAUAAGCGUUACAAAUCAACUUUGGCUAAAUUGGAAAAAUCUCGCAAAGAGGCUGACCAACUUUGUUCUGAUCAUGCAACAGAAUCAUCACGCUUGAAUAGUGAAAUGGUUCGGCUCAAUUUAAAGGUCCAGAAUCUGGAGAAGGAACUGGAAAUGAGCCGUCUGGAUUGCACAAAGGCUCGAAUUUUGGACAGAUAUCGUGCUGAGUAGAAAAUGAGUAUUUCGGGCCGAACUGACGUGUCCUAUUACUUGGAUUACCUAAUUCAUUGUGACAACCAGAGUUUGAAAGAUAAGCAGGACCUGCUUCAUACGUAUUGUGACGAUCAUGGAUUGACUAUCGGUCAAUAUUAGCGCCGACACAUAUAUAGAAAACGUUGGCGACCUCGAAAUCAAUUAUCAUGGUGGCCAUAUCCAAGCGUUAAGGGAAGCUGGAGAUCCUCUUGGAUUUGUUUAUGAUGCGAACGGUGUACCUAGCCAAAAUGGAGUUGUGGAUGCACCAGAGUCUUCUGUAGAAAAGGGCAUUGCAAAUCCAACACAGGCUUGACCGUGGAUGUUGGAAUAAGCGGUGGAGUUCAUGUUUUACUGACGGAGGAUAAGCCGCAUCAAGUUCCAAUUACUAGCAUUGUGGUCGAGGAUUAUACCAAUGUUUGUCCCCAAGAGAUGUCAAUAGUUCAAAGGGGUGAUGGUAGUUAGUAUUAAACCAGUCAUUUGUAAACGUUACAUCAUUGUUUUUUUUAACAGAAGUGGUUUGAACUGCCUUAAGAUUGUUUGUUAGACGAAUUGUCAUAUUUACUAUAUUAUCUAUUUGUCGUUGCAGUGGUGUUUAUCUGUUCGUUCUCUACUUACCGUUGUUGUUUUGUUUGUUUUUUUUAGUUUCUUUCGAUCAUACUCUUGCUAUGAUAGGACUCUGCACAAGCCAUUUAGACCGUUUGCCACUGGCAAUACUCAUAACCAAUAUUGUUGGUGGUAAUCUUUGCGAUGUGAAGCGCAUCGACCUUGGUAUUCUUCGCGUACGCUGAACAUAAUUUUCUACCUAGCUCAUUGGCUUGCGGCUUUGCAAACUUCGCAGCGCAUGCUGAACAACUGCCUUCCAUAUUGUAUCGCCAACUUGCGCUACCAAUUGAGUUUUGAAGCUCUGCGACGCGCUCUUUUUGAAUAUGCACACAGAACUGCUCCUCGACUUCCGCGGUCUGUGCAUUGCCAUAGAAGUCACUAGCUUGCUUUGCCAAUUUAUACUCAUAACAUCGCUGUGUCAUUCUCCGCUCUUUGUAAUAAUCAAUCUUACAAACUUGUUUGCCUGCAAGGUUUUUUUUUUUUUUGAAGUUAGGUUGUUAACUAAACUGUAAAACGUUAUAACCAUUGUUCAAACUUGACUUUUUUCUCCCUUCCUGCCUCUCUUCUUCUUUCUUCUUUUUUUGUUGCCUUUAUGUUUUUAACAUGCGGUAGACGCAGCGAGCCAUGUUGAUGUAUUGCGAGAUCAUUAUGGACUAUGCAUUUACA
Humulus lupulus (European hop) is the source of this 2161-nucleotide long non-coding RNA. RefSeq lists it as uncharacterized. NCBI's taxonomy places the organism in Eukaryota, Viridiplantae, Streptophyta, Magnoliopsida, Rosales, Cannabaceae. The record is from RefSeq and is a predicted model, not a curated record. The transcript is spliced from 4 exons.